CCUACGGGAGGCAGCAGUGGGGAAUAUUGGGCAAUGGGCGCAAGCCUGACCCAGCAACGCCGCGUGAAGGAAGAAGGCUCUCGGGUUGUAAACUUCUUUUAUCAGGGACGAAGCAAGUGACGGUACCUGCUGAAUAAGCCACGGCUAACUACGUGCCAGCAGCCGCGGUAAUACGUAGGUGGCAAGCGUUAUCCGGAUUUACUGGGUGUAAAGGGCGCGUAGGCGGGAGUGCAAGUCAGAUGUGAAAACUAUGGGCUCAACCCAUGGCCUGCAUUUGAAACUGUACUUCUUGAGUGCUGGAGCGGUAAUCGGAAUGCCGGGUGUAGCGAUGAAAUGCGUAGAGAUACGGAGGAACACCAGUGGCGAAGGCGGAUUGCUGGACAGUAACUGACGCUGAGGCGCGAAAGCGUGGGGAGCAAACAGGAUUAGAUACCCCAGUAGUC
This 443-nucleotide ribosomal RNA is filed under the name uncultured bacterium. Its description in RNAcentral is "partial 16S ribosomal RNA". It matches the Rfam family "Bacterial small subunit ribosomal RNA", at positions 338 to 795 of the family's 1533-position model. The record is from RNAcentral.